AAGACUAUGCUUUCAGGGAUCAUUUCUAUAGUUUCUGACUUGGAAGUUUGAUUUGAAAGUGUAACGUCUCUCUAACCACGAUGACGAGUUAAGAUAGCCUCCAGCUCCACACACCAGAGAAUUUCAGGUUUCCUGUCCCUCUCACAUCAGUCACGCCACUUGGCUUCCUUGCUCACCAUCGGGGUGAAUCCCUGUGUGUGGA
This is a small nucleolar RNA of Pygocentrus nattereri (red-bellied piranha), 202 nucleotides long. Its record names the gene U3. It matches the Rfam family "Small nucleolar RNA U3". Rfam says of the family: Small nucleolar RNAs (snoRNAs) are involved in the processing and modification of rRNA in the nucleolus. There are two main classes of snoRNAs: the box C/D class, and the box H/ACA class. The record is from Ensembl. NCBI's taxonomy places the organism in Eukaryota, Metazoa, Chordata, Actinopteri, Characiformes, Serrasalmidae.